This 345-nucleotide unclassified non-coding RNA is filed under the name soil metagenome. RNAcentral's name for it is "partial contains 5.8S ribosomal RNA, internal transcribed spacer 2, and large subunit ribosomal RNA". The stretch from base 1 to 120 matches the Rfam family "5.8S ribosomal RNA", at positions 35 to 154 of the family's 154-position model. The record is from RNAcentral.
GAUGAAGAACGCAGUGAAAUGCGAUACGUAAUGUGAAUUGCAGAAUUCAGUGAAUCAUCGAGUCUUUGAACGCACAUUGCGCCCCCUGGUAUUCCGGGGGGCAUGCCUGUCCGAGCGUCAUUGCUGCCCUCAAGCACGGCUUGUGUGUUGGGCCUCCGUCCUCCUCCCGGGGGACGGGCCCGAUAGGCAGCGGCGGCACCGCGUCCGGUCCUCGAGCGUAUGGGGCUUCGUCACCCGCUCUUGUAGGCCCGGCCGGCGCUUGCCGACACAUCAAUCUUUUUUCCAGGUUGACCUCGGAUCAGGUAGGGAUACCCGCUGAACUUAAGCAUAUCAAUAAGCGGAGGA